UGGGGAAUCUUGCGCAAUGGGGGAAACCCUGACGCAGCGACGCCGCGUGCGGGAUGAAGGCCUUCGGGUUGUAAACCGCUUUCAGCAGGGACGAGGCCUUAUGGUGACGGUACCUGCAGAAGAAGCUCCGGCUAAAUACGUGCCAGCAGCCGCGGUAAUACGUAUGGAGCAAGCGUUAUCCGGAUUCAUUGGGCGUAAAGCGCUCGUAGGCGGUCUGUUAGGUCGGCAAGUUAAAUCCGGGGGCUCAACCCCCGUCCGCUUCCGAUACCGGCAGACUUGAGUUUGGUAGGGGAAGGUGGAAUUCCUAGUGUAGAGGUGGAAUGCGCAGAUAUUAGGAAGAACACCGGUGGCGAAGGCGGCCUUCUGGGCCAUAACUGACGCUGAGGAGCGAAAGCUAGGGGAGCGAACAGG
This 411-nucleotide ribosomal RNA is filed under the name Verrucomicrobiota bacterium. RNAcentral's name for it is "Verrucomicrobia bacterium partial 16S ribosomal RNA". It matches the Rfam family "Bacterial small subunit ribosomal RNA", at positions 355 to 776 of the family's 1533-position model. Lineage: Bacteria; Pseudomonadati; Verrucomicrobiota. The record is from RNAcentral.